AACGAACGCUGGCGGCAUGCCUAACACAUGCAAGUCGAACGAGACCUUCGGGUCUAGUGGCGCACGGGUGCGUAACGCGUGGGAACCUGCCCUUAGGUUCGGAAUAACUCCCCGAAAGGGGUGCUAAUACCGGAUAAUGUCUUCGGACCAAAGAUUUAUCGCCUUUGGAUGGGCCCGCAUUGGAUUAGCUAGUUGGUAGGGUAAAAGCCUACUAAGGCGACGAUCCAUAGCUGGUCUGAGAGGAUGAUCAGCCACACUGGGACUGAGACACGGUCCAGACUCCUACGGGAGGCAGCAGUGGGGAAUAUUGGACAAUGGGCGAAAGCCUGAUCCAGCAAUGCCGCGUGAGUGAUGAAGGCCUUAGGGUUGUAAAGCUCUUUUACCCGGGAUGAUAAUGACAGUACCGGGAGAAUAAGCUCCGGCUAACUCCGUG
RNAcentral lists this ribosomal RNA (433 nucleotides) under uncultured bacterium. Its description in RNAcentral is "partial 16S ribosomal RNA". It matches the Rfam family "Bacterial small subunit ribosomal RNA", at positions 29 to 507 of the family's 1533-position model. The record is from RNAcentral.